GGAUGAACGCUAGCGGCAGGCUUAACACAUGCAAGUCGAGGGGCAGCAUAGUAUGUAGCAAUACAUAUUGAUGGCGACCGGCGGAUGGGUGCGUAACGCGUAUGCAACCUACCUUUUACAGGAGGAUAACCUUUCGAAAGGGAGACUAAUACUCCAUAGUAUUAUUUAGAGGCAUCUUUAGAUAAUUAAAUAUUUAUAGGUAAAAGCUGGGCAUGCGUAUGAUUAGUUAGUUGGUAAGGUAACGGCUUACCAAGGCGAUGAUCAUUAGGGGUUCUGAGAGGAAGGUCCCCCACACUGGUACUGAGACACGGACCAGACUCCUACGGGAGGCAGCAGUGAGGAAUAUUGGUCAAUGGGCGGAAGCCUGAACCAGCCAUGCCGCGUGCAGGAAGACGGCCUUAUGGGUUGUAAACUGCUUUUAUGUGAGGAUAAUAUUCAUCUUGCGAGGUGGAAUGAAGGUAUCACAUGAAUAAGGAUCGGCUAACUCCGUGCCAGCAGCCGCGGUAAUACGGAGGAUCCGAGCGUUAUCCGGAUUUAUUGGGUUUAAAGGGUGCGUAGGCUGACUAUUAAGUCAGCGGUGAAAAGCUUGGGCUUAACUCAGGUCUUGCCGUUGAUACUGAUAGACUAGAAUAUAUAUGGAGUAGGCGGAAUGAAUCAUGUAGAGGUGACAUUCAUAGAUAUGAUUCAGAACACCGAUCGCGAAGGCAGCUUACUAAGAUAUAAUUGACGCUGAUGCACGAAAGCGUGGGUAUCGAACAGGAUUAGAUACCCUGGUAGUCCACGCUGUAAACGAUGAUAACUCGUUGUCGGCGAUACACAGUCCGGUGACCAAGCGAAAGCGAUAAGUUAUCCACCUGGGGGAGUACGAUCGCAAGGUUGAA
This 881-nucleotide ribosomal RNA is filed under the name uncultured bacterium. RNAcentral describes it as "bacterial SSU rRNA". It matches the Rfam family "Bacterial small subunit ribosomal RNA", at positions 27 to 898 of the family's 1533-position model. The record is from RNAcentral.